RNAcentral lists this ribosomal RNA (1043 nucleotides) under Microbacterium sp. Its description in RNAcentral is "bacterial SSU rRNA". It matches the Rfam family "Bacterial small subunit ribosomal RNA", at positions 478 to 1533 of the family's 1533-position model. The record is from RNAcentral. Lineage: Bacteria; Bacillati; Actinomycetota; Actinomycetes; Micrococcales; Microbacteriaceae.
UGUGCAAAAAAAGGUCCGCAUCAGUAAUGUGGCAGCAGCCCACGGUAAUACGUUGGGUGCUAUGCGUUAUCUGGAAUUAUGGGUCGUAAGAGCUCGUAGGCGGUUUGUUCGCGUCUGCUGUGAAAUCCCGAGGCUCAACCUCGGGCCUGCAGUGGGUACGGGCAGGAUAGAGUGCGGUAGGGGAGAUUGGAAUUCCUGGUGUAGCGGUGGAAUGCGCAGAUAUCAGGAGGAACACCGAUGGCGAAGGCAGAUCUCUGGGCCGUAACUGACGCUGAGGAGCGAAAGGGUGGGGAGCAAACAGGCUUAGAUACCCUGGUAGUCCACCCCGUAAACGUUGGGAACUAGUUGUGGGGUCCUUUCCACGGAUUCCGUGACGCAGCUAACGCAUUAAGUUCCCCGCCUGGGGAGUACGGCCGCAAGGCUAAAACUCAAAGGAAUUGACGGGGACCCGCACAAGCGGCGGAGCAUGCGGAUUAAUUCGAUGCAACGCGAAGAACCUUACCAAGGCUUGACAUACACGAGAACACCCUAGAAAUAGGGGACUCUUUGGACACUCGUGAACAGGUGGUGCAUGGUUGUCGUCAGCUCGUGUCGUGAGAUGUUGGGUUAAGUCCCGCAACGAGCGCAACCCUCGUUCUAUGUUGCCAGCACGUAAUGGUGGGAACUCAUGGGAUACUGCCGGGGUCAACUCGGAGGAAGGUGGGGAUGACGUCAAAUCAUCAUGCCCCUUAUGUCUUGGGCUUCACGCAUGCUACAAUGGCCGGUACAAAGGGCUGCAAUACCGUGAGGUGGAGCGAAUCCCAAAAAGCCGGUCCCAGUUCGGAUUGAGGUCUGCAACUCGACCUCAUGAAGUCGGAGUCGCUAGUAAUCGCAGAUCAGCAACGCUGCGGUGAAUACGUUCCCGGGUCUUGUACACACCGCCCGUCAAGUCAUGAAAGUCGGUAACACCUGAAGCCGGUGGCCCAACCCUUGUGGGGGGAGCCGUCGAAGGUGGGAUCGGUAAUUAGGACUAAGUCGAAUCAAUGACCAUGAAGCCACCCCCC